AACGAACGCUGGCGGCAUGCCUAACACAUGCAAGUCGAACGAGACCUUCGGGUCUAGUGGCGCACGGGUGCGUAACGCGUGGGAACCUGCCCUUAGGUUCGGAAUAACUCCCCGAAAGGGGUGCUAAUACCGGAUAAUGUCUUCGGACCAAAGAUUUAUCGCCUUUGGAUGGGCCCGCGUUGGAUUAGCUAGUUGGUAGGGUAAAAGCCUACCAAGGCUACGAUCCAUAGCUGGUCUGAGAGGAUGAUCAGCCACACUGGGACUGAGACCCGGCCCAGACUCCUACGGGAGGCAGCAGUGGGGAAUAUUGGACAAUGGGCGAAAGCCUGAUCCAGCAAUGCCGCGUGAGUGAUGAAGGCCUUAGGGUUGUAAAGCUCUUUUACCCGGGAUGAUAAUGACAGUACCGGGAGAAUAAGCGCCGGCUAACUCCGUG
RNAcentral lists this ribosomal RNA (433 nucleotides) under uncultured bacterium. RNAcentral's name for it is "partial 16S ribosomal RNA". It matches the Rfam family "Bacterial small subunit ribosomal RNA", at positions 29 to 507 of the family's 1533-position model. The record is from RNAcentral.